RNAcentral lists this ribosomal RNA (719 nucleotides) under Lactobacillus delbrueckii subsp. bulgaricus. RNAcentral describes it as "bacterial SSU rRNA". It matches the Rfam family "Bacterial small subunit ribosomal RNA", at positions 94 to 799 of the family's 1533-position model. The record is from RNAcentral. Lineage: Bacteria; Bacillati; Bacillota; Bacilli; Lactobacillales; Lactobacillaceae.
AGCGGCGGAUGGGUGAGUAACACGUGGGCAAUCUGCCCUAAAGACUGGGAUACCACUUGGAAACAGGUGCUAAUACCGGAUAACAACAUGAAUCGCAUGAUUCAAGUUUGAAAGGCGGCGCAAGCUGUCACUUUAGGAUGAGCCCGCGGCGCAUUAGCUAGUUGGUGGGGUAAAGGCCUACCAAGGCAAUGAUGCGUAGCCGAGUUGAGAGACUGAUCGGCCACAUUGGGACUGAGACACGGCCCAAACUCCUACGGGAGGCAGCAGUAGGGAAUCUUCCACAAUGGACGCAAGUCUGAUGGAGCAACGCCGCGUGAGUGAAGAAGGUCUUCGGAUCGUAAAGCUCUGUUGUUGGUGAAGAAGGAUAGAGGCAGUAACUGGUCUUUAUUUGACGGUAAUCAACCAGAAAGUCACGGCUAACUACGUGCCAGCAGCCGCGGUAAUACGUAGGUGGCAAGCGUUGUCCGGAUUUAUUGGGCGUAAAGCGAGCGCAGGCGGAAUGAUAAGUCUGAUGUGAAAGCCCACGGCUCAACCGUGGAACUGCAUCGGAAACUGUCAUUCUUGAGUGCAGAAGAGGAGAGUGGAACUCCAUGUGUAGCGGUGGAAUGCGUAAAUAUAUGGAAGAACACCAGUGGCGAAGGCGGCUCUCUGGUCUGCAACUGACGCUGAGGCUCGAAAGCAUGGGUAGCGAACAGGAUUAGAUACCCUGGUAGUCCAUG